Molecule: long non-coding RNA, 446 nt
Filed under: Homo sapiens (human)
Lineage: Eukaryota; Metazoa; Chordata; Mammalia; Primates; Hominidae
Description: HSALNT0349067
Rfam family: Eukaryotic large subunit ribosomal RNA (bases 1-83)
Source: RNAcentral
GCAGGACGGUGGCCAUGGAAGUCGAAAUUCGCUAAGGAGUGUCAAACAACUCACCUGCCGAAUCAACUAGAAGAGAAAAAGAAGAAAAAACAAACAAACAGAACUAGCUAGUAUGUUCAUGAAACCUAUCUGUUUCAUUUAAGGCCAUUGACCAAGCUGUUUCUCCAUGAAAACCUUUCUCUUAGAACGACUCGUGUUCCAUUUGUGGAGUACCAGUCUGCCUUUGCCUUUCCACUUAUCAACUUCUGUAGAGGGUCUUUCUGAUGUUUCCCUUGUCAAUGUGUUUGUGGCUUCUCUGCCUCUUUCUUUAGCUUUGGGGAUGUCUUUAUCUGCCUCAUUUUUCUUUUUCCCCAUUUUCAUCUUUUGUUUCCUCUCUAAUCUCUGCUUCUCCUUCCUAGUUGUUAAAUUUAUUGAAUAUUAGGCGAUAUUUCCUAUUCUUAAUCUUC